GCCCAGGUGGCGGAAUCGGCAGACGCGGCGUCUUGAGGGGGCGUUGCCCGAAAGGGCGUGCGGGUUCGACUCCCGCCCUGGGCA
Molecule: transfer RNA, 84 nt
Filed under: Hydrogenivirga sp. 128-5-R1-1
Lineage: Bacteria; Pseudomonadati; Aquificota; Aquificia; Aquificales; Aquificaceae
Rfam family: tRNA
About the family: Transfer RNA (tRNA) molecules are approximately 80 nucleotides in length. Their secondary structure includes four short double-helical elements and three loops (D, anti-codon, and T loops). Further hydrogen bonds mediate the characteristic L-shaped molecular structure. tRNAs have two regions of fundamental functional importance: the anti-codon, which is responsible for specific mRNA codon recognition, and the 3' end, to which the tRNAs corresponding amino acid is attached (by aminoacyl-tRNA synthetases). tRNAs cope with the degeneracy of the genetic code in two manners: having more than one tRNA (with a specific anti-codon) for a particular amino acid; and 'wobble' base-pairing, i.e. permitting non-standard base-pairing at the 3rd anti-codon position.
Source: Rfam by way of RNAcentral